RNAcentral lists this ribosomal RNA (484 nucleotides) under uncultured bacterium. RNAcentral describes it as "partial 16S ribosomal RNA". It matches the Rfam family "Bacterial small subunit ribosomal RNA", at positions 30 to 507 of the family's 1533-position model. The record is from RNAcentral.
AUUGAACGCUGGCGGCAGGCCUAACACAUGCAAGUCGAGCGGAUGAAGGGAGCUUGCUCCUGGAUUCAGCGGCGGACGGGUGAGUAAUGCCUAGGAAUCUGCCUGGUAGUGGGGGGUAACGUCCGGAAACGGGCGCUAAUACCGCAUACGUCCUGAGGGAGAAAGUGGGGGAUCUUCGGGCCUCACGCUAUCAGAUGAGCCUAGGUCGGAUUAGCUAGUUGGUGGGGUAAAGGCCUACCAAGGCGACGAUCCGUAACUGGUCUGAGAGGAUGAUCAGUCACACUGGAACUGAGACACGGUCCAGACUCCUACGGGAGGCAGCAGUGGGGAAUAUUGGACAAUGGGCGAAAGCCUGAUCCAGCCAUGCCGCGUGUGCGAAGAAGGUCUUCGGAUUGUAAAGCACUUUAAGUUGGGAGGAAGGGCAGUAAGUUAAUACCUUGCUGUUUUGACGUUACCAACAGAAUAAGCACCGGCUAACUUCGUG